UACGGGGGGGGCAAGCGUUGUUCGGAAUUACUGGGCGUAAAGGGCUCGUAGGCGGCCAACUAAGUCAGACGUGAAAUCCCUCGGCUUAACCGGGGAACUGCGUCUGAUACUGGAUGGCUUGAGUUUGGGAGAGGGAUGCGGAAUUCCAGGUGUAGCGGUGAAAUGCGUAGAUAUCAGGAGGAACACCGAUGGCGAAGGCAGAUCUCUGGGCCGUAACUGACGCUGAGGAGCGAAAGCAUGGGGAGCGAACAGG
This 253-nucleotide ribosomal RNA is filed under the name uncultured bacterium. Its description in RNAcentral is "partial 16S ribosomal RNA". It matches the Rfam family "Bacterial small subunit ribosomal RNA", at positions 524 to 776 of the family's 1533-position model. The record is from RNAcentral.